Arachis ipaensis is the source of this 997-nucleotide non-coding RNA. Lineage: Eukaryota; Viridiplantae; Streptophyta; Magnoliopsida; Fabales; Fabaceae. The record is from RefSeq and is a predicted model, not a curated record.
AGUGAUUUGUUCUUGGUGGCGAUUUUGGUCAUUACAGCGGUUCCAACCUAUCAUUAUCUCCCAUAUAUAUAAAAGACCAAUUCUAACCCUAAUUUCAGAAACACUAGGUUGCUGAAGACGCGUGUGUACAUUACUGCUUUCAUUGUGUGGCGAUCUCCAAUCCUAUGCGUUCUCUGACGAUCUUUUCCGGUGGCAUCUCCUCCUUUGGCGACGAUCUCCUCCGGUGACGUCUCCUCUAGCUUCUUGCUGCCCUUCUUCUCCGCCGAAAUUCUUAGUGCCUCCCUUUCAUUCUCCUUUUCCUUCCAUUGAUGGUCAUUCUCUCUCUCUAUCUCUCUUUCUUUUUGCGUUCGCUUCUUGCUUAACAAUUUGUCAUAACGGUGAAAAUGUGAUAUGAAUUUUGAUAAGGACAGUGUUUGAUGAUGGAAACCUAGCGCAAGAGAAUAGCUUUCAUAUAUUACAUAACACUCAACAAUCAAUGGAUUUAACUGGUAACUCUCCACUUGAUGCUCUUGGAGUAGUUCUUGAAAAAGAACAUCCUGGUCGUAUUCGAAGUUUAGGUAUGGGGGCUGUCCCAACAGUGGCUUUCAAGAACACUACUACAAGGAUUACUCAUAUGAACUUAGGUUCUUCAAAUGAUGCUGGCACAUCAUCCACUUGUGGUUUCAAUGUGCAAGAAGAGUUGGAUACUGUUAAGGCACAAUUGCAAGCACUAAUUUUCUACAUUGCUUCUAAAGAAGGAGGUUUAGAUUCCAAAGUAAUUGACUGCAAUGAUUCUUAAUCAACAAGUUUCACAGAAUUGAAUCAAGAGAGUGAGAUUCUAUCGUAGGUCUUUUGGAGCAAGCAAUAGAGCAGCGUGAAAUAUGAUGGAGAUUUUAUGUGUUAAGAGCUACAUGUUAAGACAUUGAUAGUUAAAAAAUUAUGUUAUGUUUGAUACUUUGUAUAAGAGUUAUUACUUUUGAUUUCCAAUACUAAAAAAUCAUAUAUUAUGUUUAAUACU